Mytilus trossulus (common blue mussel) is the source of this 841-nucleotide long non-coding RNA. RefSeq lists it as uncharacterized. The transcript has 3 exons. The record is from RefSeq and is a predicted model, not a curated record. NCBI's taxonomy places the organism in Eukaryota, Metazoa, Mollusca, Bivalvia, Mytilida, Mytilidae.
AUUGUCGGCUUUUGGACCCCGCGGAUCAACCAAUGAGAAGACGAUCGACGUCAAAUAGAUGUUUGCAGCUUGCAGAAUGGAAAGAAAUUUGCAGCUAAAAUUAUUUUCACUUCUAUGUGAAAAUCUAACCGAAAAACUUACCUGUUGAUUUCAAGAUACAGUAUGCCAUUCCAGGUUUGAUGAAAUAUAAAGUGAUGCUUUGAACAUGCAUGAACAUGUUGAAAUUGGAUUUCUAUUUUUACAGACAGCAGUGAUGAUCACCUGCACUGAGACAGCAGAAGAAAGUUACUUAUUUAUUACUCAUCAUGACCAUGAUGACCAUUUAAUACUGAAAAUCUGAUUAAAAUUUGUUUGGAAAGCCACCAAAUAUUUCAAUGAGAAGUAGAAAAAAGACAGCAAUUCUAUAUCAUGUAUAUCAUGUACUAAGCAGAAGCAUUUGCUGUUUCAAGACCCAAUUGAAUUGGAGUUUAGUGUUUUGAUGCAGUGAAACAGAGGAAUAUUUAAGUGAACAGUUUACCUUCUUUUUCAUCCUCGUGUAUCAUUAAAGUUGAUGUUUACCAUCGGAGAGAGCUUUUACCUCAGUUAAAAUGAAUUCUAAAUACAGGCAGUUUUGGAAACUUGUAUAAUUUCUUACAAUUGGAGUUUCUAAAAAGGAUUACAUUAAAAAAAAAUGUGUUGCAACAGUUUCAAGGAUUUGAUUUGUGGUUUCUUUCGUGAAAUAUUUGAAAAAUCUGCAAUGUCUAACCAAGUAGUUUAUAAGGGAUCUAAAGAUAAACAAAUGACAUGUAUGAUAUUCAGAUGAAUUUGAAAGAAGGAAAUAUAUUGAUUUAUAAGACUUCAA